CACGCCGUAAACAAUGUCUGCUAGAUGCUCUGCAUUAGUGGGGUGUCGAAGCUAACGCGUUAAGCAGACCGCCUGGGAAGUACGAUCGCAAGAUUAAAACUCAAAGGAAUUGGCGGGGACCCGCACAAGCGGUGGAGCAUGCUCUUUAAUUGGCUGAUAACCCAAGAACCUUACCAGGGCUUGACAUGCAUAAAGUAGUGAACCGAAAGGGGAACGACCGGUAUCCAGUCCGGAGUUUGCACAGGUGU
RNAcentral lists this ribosomal RNA (248 nucleotides) under uncultured bacterium. RNAcentral's name for it is "partial 16S ribosomal RNA". It matches the Rfam family "Bacterial small subunit ribosomal RNA", at positions 796 to 1041 of the family's 1533-position model. The record is from RNAcentral.